GGUGCCUAGUUACAGGGUAAAGAGGUGUGGGUCUCUACAUUUAAUUGUAUUUUCUACUCUUCAGAAUUGCAUAUUUAUUACCGUAGGUAUAAGCAGACACAAUACUAAAAAUAAUGGGAUGUGACAUCUCCCCUUUAAAGCUUAUUUUAUGGUUUCUGUUCUGUUUUUUUUGACUCGGCAUCACGAGAAACAAGAUUCUCACAAAGUAAACCCCUUAGAUAGAGAGAAACUCUAUGAGGUCUUGCAUUCCCUUUCUUCCAGUUAUAGCCACUGGGAAGCAUUUCUGAUGUGUUAAACCAUGCGGGUUUCUGACCUUACAAAGUAUUCCCAGAAGGACGUGCACUUAUAAUGUAAACAAACUGUAUUCUAAUAGAUGUGAUAUAUAUAUAUAUUUGUGAACUGGAUCGACG
Molecule: non-coding RNA, 410 nt
Organism: Pelobates cultripes (western spadefoot toad)
Lineage: Eukaryota; Metazoa; Chordata; Amphibia; Anura; Pelobatidae
Source: the annotation of a GenBank genome assembly